Centropristis striata (black sea bass) is the source of this 826-nucleotide long non-coding RNA. RefSeq lists it as uncharacterized. The record is from RefSeq and is a predicted model, not a curated record. NCBI's taxonomy places the organism in Eukaryota, Metazoa, Chordata, Actinopteri, Perciformes, Serranidae. The transcript has 9 exons.
AGCCAAUCUCUCUUUUCAAACCGUCUCUCAGUGUCAUAAACGUGUUGCUGCGUUCAGCUUUAGUUUAACUCGUCCAGAGGUCAGUAAAUACCAGAGAAACAUUACUAAAUGUUUAAGAAUACACGUUUAUUGAGCUGCAGUUUGUUACUUUAGUUUUUACCCGAUAUCUGCUAGCUUUAGCAUUAGCUUCUCAGGCCUGAAGCAGCCACGUGGAGAAACAGAAACACGGACAAGAUGAGAAACGAGGUGGACUGCAGUCUGGCGGCUCUUUGUGCCAAAUUUACAAAUGUAAAACUGCCUGUAUGGAGUUUCCUGAAAUCCCCGCAAGAUUCAUCAGAAGAAUGGGUCCAUUCAAGAUGAGCAAGGCACGACUGAGCUGAGAACUUUCAUGCUGCCAUGAAGCGCUCUGUCUGCUCCAAACUGAACCAGUGGACUGAAGGUGAUGCAUUUUGUGCAGAUGAGGACUUUUGUGUUGCCAUAAGAUUUUAAAGCCAUGAAGUUCAGUGUCUGCUCCAAACUGAACCAGCGGACUGAAGGUGAUAAAUUUUGUGCAGGUGUUGCAGAUGGAAAUUCCUGACAGAAUCUGACUCUUCUUACAUGGUGCAGCUACACCUUCAAGAUGGACCAUAUGUUGGUCUAAUGCUCCUAAAGUCUGAGUAACUUCGACAGAACGGGAUCAAGAAGUUGCAGCAAUUUGGCUUCAGUGUGCCGCAAGCUACACGUGAUGAGGGCUUGUGGACUCUGGUCUGAAGACAAAUCAACAUUUCACCACAUUAAGAACAGCAGUCUGAUUUACUGUUUGGUAACUAAUAAAGUGUUGAAACAA